UACGUAGGGUGCGAGCGUUGUCCGGAAUUACUGGGCGUAAAGGGCUCGUAGGCGGCCAACUAAGUCGGAUGUGAAAUCCCCAGGCUCAACUUGGGAACUGCAUCCGAUACUGGAUGGCUUGAAUUCGGGAGAGGGAUGCAGAAUUCCAGGUGUAGCGGUGAAAUGCGUAGAUAUCUGGAGGUAUACCGGUGGCGAAGGCGGCAUCCUGGACCGACAUUGACGCUGAGGAGCGAAAGCUAGGGGAGCAAACGGG
This 253-nucleotide ribosomal RNA is filed under the name uncultured bacterium. RNAcentral describes it as "partial 16S ribosomal RNA". It matches the Rfam family "Bacterial small subunit ribosomal RNA", at positions 524 to 776 of the family's 1533-position model. The record is from RNAcentral.